RNAcentral lists this transfer RNA (71 nucleotides) under Aedes aegypti (yellow fever mosquito). It matches the Rfam family "tRNA". Rfam says of the family: Transfer RNA (tRNA) molecules are approximately 80 nucleotides in length. Their secondary structure includes four short double-helical elements and three loops (D, anti-codon, and T loops). The record is from Rfam by way of RNAcentral. Lineage: Eukaryota; Metazoa; Arthropoda; Insecta; Diptera; Culicidae.
GGCUCGGUAGCUUAGUUGGUAAAGCGCUCAAGAGCAUACAAGAGUCCUGGGUUCAAAUCCCAGCCGAGCAC